This 494-nucleotide ribosomal RNA is filed under the name uncultured bacterium. Its description in RNAcentral is "partial 16S ribosomal RNA". It matches the Rfam family "Bacterial small subunit ribosomal RNA", at positions 28 to 507 of the family's 1533-position model. The record is from RNAcentral.
GACGAACGCUGGCGGCGUGCUUAACACAUGCAAGUCGAACGGAAAGGCCUGCUUUCCCUUGUGGAUUGCGGGUACUCGAGUGGCGAACGGGUGAGUAACACGUGAGUGAUCUGCCCCCAACUUGGGUAUAAGCCUGGGAAACUGGGUCUAAUUCCCGAUAGGACUGCAGGGUGGUGCCUGUGGUGGAAAACGAUUUUCUAGUGGUUGGGGAUGAGCUCGCGGCCUAUCAGCUUGUUGGUGGGGUAAUGGCCUACCAAGGCGGCGACGGGUAGCCGGCCUGAGAGGGUGGACGGCCACAUUGGGACUGAGAUACGGCCCAGACUCCUACGGGAGGCAGCAGUGGGGAAUAUUGCACAAUGGGUGGAAGCCUGAUGCAGCGACGCCGCGUGGGGGAUGACGGCCUUCGGGUUGUAAACUCCUUUCGACCGCGAGGAAGCCACCUGGUUGGAAGGGUGGUGACGGUAGUGGUAGAAGAAGCACCGGCUAACUACGUG